This 253-nucleotide ribosomal RNA is filed under the name uncultured bacterium. Its description in RNAcentral is "partial 16S ribosomal RNA". It matches the Rfam family "Bacterial small subunit ribosomal RNA", at positions 524 to 776 of the family's 1533-position model. The record is from RNAcentral.
UACGUAGGGUGCAAGCGUUGUCCGGAAUUAUUGGGCGUAAAGAGCGUGUAGGCGGCUCGAUUAGUCCGCUGUGAAAGUCCAGGGCUCAACCCUGGAAUGCCGGCGGAUACUGUCGAGCUAGAGUCCGGAAGGGGCGAGUGGAAUUCCUGGUGUAGCGGUGAAAUGCGCAGAUAUCAGGAGGAACACCUAUGGCGAAGGCAGCUCGCUGGGACGUGACUGACGCUGAGACGCGAAAGCGUGGGGAGCAAACAGG